GCCCGGGUGGCGGAAUGGUUUACGCAGAGGACUUAAAAUCCUCGACCCGCAAGGGUUUGUGGGUUCGACUCCCACCCCGGGCA
This 83-nucleotide transfer RNA is filed under the name Candidatus Liptonbacteria bacterium. Its description in RNAcentral is "tRNA-Leu". It matches the Rfam family "tRNA". Rfam says of the family: Transfer RNA (tRNA) molecules are approximately 80 nucleotides in length. The record is from RNAcentral. Lineage: Bacteria; Candidatus Liptoniibacteriota.